Molecule: unclassified non-coding RNA, 328 nt
Filed under: soil metagenome
Description: partial contains 5.8S ribosomal RNA, internal transcribed spacer 2, and large subunit ribosomal RNA
Rfam family: 5.8S ribosomal RNA (bases 1-120)
Source: RNAcentral
GAUGAAGAACGUAGCGAAAUGCGAUAAGUAAUGUGAAUUGCAGAAUUCAGUGAAUCAUCGAAUCUUUGAACGCACAUUGCGCCCCUUGGUAUUCCGAGGGGCAUGCCUGUUCGAGCGUCAUUAUAACCCCUCAAGCUCAGCUUGGUGUUGGGGCCUGCUGCACUGGCAGCCCUUAAAAUCAGUGGCGGCGCCGUCUGGCUCUAAGCGUAGUAAUUCUUCUCGCUAUGGAGUCCUGGUGGAUGCUUGCCAUCAACCCCCAAUUUUUCUAUGGUUGACCUCGGAUCAGGUAGGGAUACCCGCUGAACUUAAGCAUAUCAAUAAGCGGGGA